This 795-nucleotide ribosomal RNA is filed under the name uncultured bacterium. RNAcentral's name for it is "bacterial SSU rRNA". It matches the Rfam family "Bacterial small subunit ribosomal RNA", at positions 1 to 793 of the family's 1533-position model. The record is from RNAcentral.
UAGAGUUUGAUCAUGGCUCAGGAUGAACGCUAGCGGCAGGCUUAACACAUGCAAGUCGAGGGGCAUCGGGAGGGAAGCUUGCUUUCCUUGCCGGCGACCGGCGCACGGGUGAGUAACACGUAUGCAACCUGCCCUCUUCAGGGGGACAACCUUCCGAAAGGGAGGCUAAUCCCGCGUAUAUCGGUUUCGGGCAUCCGAGAUCGAGGAAAGAUUCAUCGGAAGAGGAUGGGCAUGCGGCGCAUUAGCUUGACGGCGGGGUAACGGCCCACCGUGGCGACGAUGCGUAGGGGUUCUGAGAGGAAGGUCCCCCACACUGGUACUGAGACACGGACCAGACUCCUACGGGAGGCAGCAGUGAGGAAUAUUGGUCAAUGGGAGAGAUCCUGAACCAGCCAAGCCGCGUGAGGGAAGACGGCCCUAUGGGUUGUAAACCUCUUUUGUCGGAGAACAAAACCCGGGACGUGUCCCGGACUGCGUGUAUCCGAAGAAAAAGCAUCGGCUAACUCCGUGCCAGCAGCCGCGGUAAUACGGAGGAUGCGAGCGUUAUCCGGAUUUAUUGGGUUUAAAGGGUGCGUAGGCGGUCCGUUAAGUCAGCGGUAAAAUUGCGGGGCUCAACCCCGUCGAGCCGUUGAAACUGGCAGACUUGAGUUGGCGAGAAGUACGCGGAAUGCGCGGUGUAGCGGUGAAAUGCAUAGAUAUCGCGCAGAACUCCGAUUGCGAAGGCAGCGUACCGGCGCCACACUGACGCUGAGGCACGAAAGCGUGGGGAUCGAACAGGAUUAGAUACCCUGGUAG